GGGGAAUAUUGCGCAAUGGGGGAAACCCUGACGCAGCAACGCCGCGUGAUUGAAGAAGGCCUUCGGGUUGUAAAGAUCUUUAAUUCGGGACGAAUUUUGACGGUACCGAAAGAAUAAGCUCCGGCUAACUACGUGCCAGCAGCCGCGGUAAUACGUAGGGGGCAAGCGUUAUCCGGAUUUACUGGGUGUAAAGGGAGCGCAGGCGGCAUGGUAAGCCAGAAGUGAAAACCCGGAGCUCAACCCAUGAAUUGCUUUCAAAACUGUUUUUCUUGAGUAGUGCAGAGGUAGAUGGAAUUCCCGGUGUAGCGGUGGAAUGCGUAGAUAUCGGGAGGAACACCAGUGGCGAAGGCGGUCUACUGGGCACCAACUGACGCUGAGGCUCGAAAGCAUGGGUAGCAAACAGGAUUAGAUACCCUGGUAGUCCAUGCCGUAAACGAUGAUUACUAGGUGUUGGGGGAUUGACCCCCUCAGUGCCGCAGUUAACACAAUAAGUAAUCCACCUGGGGAGUACGACCGCAAGGUUGAAACUCAAAGGAAUUGACGGGGGCCCGCACAAGCAGUGGAGUAUGUGGUUUAAUUCGAAGCAACGCGAAGAACCUUACCAGGUCUUGACAUCCGAUGCAUAACACAGAGAUGUGUGAAAUCCUUCGGGACAUCGAGACAGGUGGUGCAUGGUUGUCGUCAGCUCGUGUCGUGAGAUGUUGGGUUAAGUCCCGCAACGAGCGCAACCCUUAUUGCCAGUUACUACGUUAAGAGGACUCUGGCGAGACUGCCGUUGACAAAACGGAGGAAGGUGGGGACGACGUCAAAUCAUCAUGCCCUUUAUGACCUGGGCUACACACGUACUACAAUGGCGUUAAACAAAGAGAAGCAAGACCGCGAGGUGGAGCAAAACUCAAAAACAACGUCUCAGUUCAGAUUGCAGGCUGCAACUCGCCUGCAUGAAGUCGGAAUUGCUAGUAAUCGCGGAUCAGCAUGCCGCGGUGAAUACGUUCCCG
Molecule: ribosomal RNA, 998 nt
Filed under: uncultured bacterium
Lineage: Bacteria
Description: bacterial SSU rRNA
Rfam family: Bacterial small subunit ribosomal RNA
Source: RNAcentral